RNAcentral lists this ribosomal RNA (253 nucleotides) under uncultured bacterium. RNAcentral's name for it is "partial 16S ribosomal RNA". It matches the Rfam family "Bacterial small subunit ribosomal RNA", at positions 524 to 776 of the family's 1533-position model. The record is from RNAcentral.
UACGGGGGGGGCAAGCGUUGUUCGGAAUUACUGGGCGUAAAGGGCGCGUAGGCGGCCUUCUAAGUCGGACGUGAAAUCCCUCGGCUUAACCGAGGAACUGCGUCCGAUACUGAAAGGCUUGAAUCCGGGAGAGGGAUGUGGAAUUCCAGGUGUAGCGGUGAAAUGCGUAGAGAUCGGGAGGAACACCGGUGGCGAAGGCGGUCUUCUGGACGGUGACUGACGCUGAGGCGCGAAAGCGUGGGGAGCAAACGGG